GCAGUGGGGAAUUUUCCGCAAUGGGCGAAAGCCUGACGGAGCAAUACCGCGUGAGGGAGGAAGGCUCUUGGGUUGUAAACCUCUUUUUUCAGGGAAGAACACAAUGACGGUACCUGAGGAAUCAGCAUCGGCUAACUCCGUGCCAGCAGCCGCGGUAAUACGGAGGAUGCAAGCGUUAUCCGGAAUGAUUGGGCGUAAAGCGUCCGCAGGUGGCAAUGUAAGUCUGCUGUUAAAGAGUGAGGCUCAACCUCAUACAAGCAGUGGAAACUACAUAGCUAGAGUGCGUUCGGGGCAGAGGGAAUUCCUGGUGUAGCGGUGAAAUGCGUAGAUAUCAGGAAGAACACCGGCGGCGAAAGC
Molecule: ribosomal RNA, 357 nt
Filed under: uncultured Nostoc sp.
Lineage: Bacteria; Bacillati; Cyanobacteriota; Cyanophyceae; Nostocales; Nostocaceae
Description: bacterial SSU rRNA
Rfam family: Bacterial small subunit ribosomal RNA
Source: RNAcentral